GACGAACGCUGGCGGCGUGCCUAAUACAUGCAAGUCGAACGGGGGUAUUUAUUUCGAUGAAUACCUUAGUGGCGAACGGGUGAGUAACGCGUGAGCAACCUAUCCUUAAGAGGGGGAUAACAUCUGGAAACAGAUGCUAAUACCGCAUAAGACCACACUGCCGCAUGGCAGAGGGGUCAAAGGAGCAAUCCGUUUAAGGAGGGGCUCGCGUCCCAUUAGAUAGUUGGUGAGGUAACAGCUCACCAAGUCAGCGAUGGGUAGCCGAGCUGAGAGGCUGAUCGGCCACACUGGAACUGAGACUCGGUCCAGACUCCUACGGGAGGCAGCAGUGGGGAAUAUUGGGCAAUGGGGGGAACCCUGACCCAGCAACGCCGCGUGAGGGAAGAAGGCCUUCGGGUUGUAAACCUCUGUCAUUAGGGAAGAAGAAAGUGACGGUACCUAAUGAGGAAGCCCCGGCUAACUACGUGCCAGCCGCCGCGGUAA
Molecule: ribosomal RNA, 483 nt
Filed under: uncultured bacterium
Lineage: Bacteria
Description: partial 16S ribosomal RNA
Rfam family: Bacterial small subunit ribosomal RNA
Source: RNAcentral